GGCCAGCUGGCCUAAUGGUAAGGCGCUAGAUUUCGGUGAUGCCUCUGCUUUGCAGAUGGUUGUAAUCCCUCUAGAGAUUGCAGGUUCGAAUCCUGCGUUGGUCG
RNAcentral lists this transfer RNA (104 nucleotides) under Eutypa lata. Its description in RNAcentral is "tRNA-Arg". It matches the Rfam family "tRNA". From Rfam's summary of the family: Transfer RNA (tRNA) molecules are approximately 80 nucleotides in length. Their secondary structure includes four short double-helical elements and three loops (D, anti-codon, and T loops). Lineage: Eukaryota; Fungi; Ascomycota; Sordariomycetes; Xylariales; Diatrypaceae. The record is from RNAcentral. RNAcentral also lists the same sequence under 1 other name.